This 633-nucleotide long non-coding RNA is filed under the name Mytilus galloprovincialis (Mediterranean mussel). Lineage: Eukaryota; Metazoa; Mollusca; Bivalvia; Mytilida; Mytilidae. The record is from RNAcentral.
GUCAUAUGAAUUCAAGAUUAUUGGUGAAGGUUCCAAGUCUCUAUGACUUCUGGUUCUCGAAAUAGAACUUUUCAAAAAAUAUUUAUAAUUUUUAAAGGGAAAUAACUCCUUAUCAGGCUUAGUAACAAAUUAAUUGUUUAUGUUUUAAAACAUUGCCAUCUGUUCUUGUAUAUGCUGCCAUUUUCAAAUCGAUUCUAUCUCUAAUACUUUUAAAGAAAAAUACAAAUAAAAGAAAUUGCUUCAAGGGGAUAUAACUCUCAAAGGGGAUGAUGAAAUCCUAUGCAGCCUCAUAUGGUAAUACAUCAUGAUAAUAUCUACCUAUUGUCUAAAUAAGGUCAUGAUAUCUUUUAAAACAUUUAGGGGGGCCCAUGUUGAAAAAAAUCAAUAAAAGGGAGAUAACGUCUAAAGGGGAUGAUGAAAUCCUACAAAAGUUCAUCUGGCAAAAGUUCAUGAUGAGGUCUAUCGAUGGUUCAAAUUUGGUAUUGAUAACUCCAAUAGAAGCGGUAGGAGGGCGUGCCAAACAAAUGCUGGAAGGAAAAAAAAAAGAAAAAAAAAACAUUAGAAAAACAAUAAGGUCUUUCCUCGGGAAGAGGAAAGACCUUAAAAAUCAGAAAUCCCGCGUCACGCUUAGAC